This is a long non-coding RNA of Polypterus senegalus (gray bichir), 780 nucleotides long. RefSeq lists it as uncharacterized. The transcript has 3 exons. NCBI's taxonomy places the organism in Eukaryota, Metazoa, Chordata, Cladistia, Polypteriformes, Polypteridae. The record is from RefSeq and is a predicted model, not a curated record.
GCAAGUUACUGCGGGUGGAUUCAAGAAGGUCCGAGGCCGAAGCCGGCACCUGGAGAAAGGUAUAGACAGCGAGUAGGAAAAAGGAUACCCGGUGAUAAUCAGCCUUCCGUGUUGUUGAACAGAUGCCAGUUUACCCGAAUUCUGAGACACAAUUGGAUGUCCUUUUCUUCUGUUUUUAAGAUUCCCAAUUUGGGAUGAUGUGCAAUUCAUGUUAGAUUUACUAUUUCUACAGUUUAUUAUAGUGGUGCCCCCCUGCAUCUUGACCAUUUGUUACUUCAGCUCCAAAUGCCGGUGAUGCCGGAGGGAAGAACAGUUCACCAGAUGUCCUGAAAUGGAAUUGGAUUGGUCUGAAAUGGCCACAAUUAUGUAUGCUGGAAUGUGCAGAGGGGGUUGUUUGGGCUUUGGCGUUAGACCCCCAGAGGUUUAUCAUCUCCAGCAUCCUUGAAGGCUGCAAGUUUGUUUUUGUCCGUGGCCAUUUGACCAUGCAGUGUAUUUAUUACAAAGGACAAGGACCCAUCCAUUUACUUCUUAUUUACUUUUAUAAAACCUUCAAUUUUCUUUGUGACUGUAUAUUUUUUUUUGUAAGUAAAGGUGAUAUAGAAAUAUUUCUGAACAACUUUUAAGGGACAGAUCAGGAAAAAUGGCACUUUAAAUAGAAAAAACUUUUUGUGGAAUAUUGCAGGAUAACUCUGACUCUGAGAAAUAUCUUGUUCAUAAAGCUAAAAUAGCAUGUAUCCCUUUUUUGACAAAUUUAAUGAUUUAUUUCGAUUUUACUGCGUU